Molecule: long non-coding RNA, 530 nt
Filed under: Eucalyptus grandis
Lineage: Eukaryota; Viridiplantae; Streptophyta; Magnoliopsida; Myrtales; Myrtaceae
Description: long non-coding RNA (EGRA_LNC004025)
Source: RNAcentral
UUUAUGCGUGACUGUCCCAGAGUGAAAUUCUUCUCAUAUCCUCAUGGAAAGAAAAAGUCGGUAACCACUAAUUCAGAUUCACAAGAUGCUAACUCCGAUUCCUUCUUUGUUCAAAAGGUACAAAUGCCUUCUCUUUGAGAUUAUACCUAUAAUUGCCAUAGGCAAGCACUUGGUGGGGGUGAUUAAUAAAAUCUCUUUGAAGAUUUUUGUUUCGUUCAUUAGUUAAAGUGUGUUCAUAAUUUAUACGUACACUUGUCAGAGUAAGGGCACUGGUAAAAAUUCAUUUUUCCAUUUCAUCAAAUAGAUUGGUUAGGAUUAGGCUAAAUUGUCAAUUUUUUCAUUGCUACGAUCUGACGCAUAAAUCUCAUGAGCAGGUGAUUUACCUAGCUUGGACACAUUAAAUAUUAACAGGUGUUUUGAAAUGAGAGAGUCCUUGAAAUGGAUAUGGCACAGUGAACUUCCUAGAAGUUCAAUCUGCGAAUUAGCCACCGUCAGAAUUAGCAAUUGCUUAAAGCUACUCAACGUCUUCC